This is a long non-coding RNA of Rosa chinensis, 2336 nucleotides long. RefSeq lists it as uncharacterized. The record is from RefSeq and is a predicted model, not a curated record. The transcript has 6 exons. NCBI's taxonomy places the organism in Eukaryota, Viridiplantae, Streptophyta, Magnoliopsida, Rosales, Rosaceae.
CUGAUCGAACGAUGAGGGAAACCUUUCUUCAAUAUAACCCCUUCAACCCUUCGGAGUUCAAACCAAAUCUCGAUCUGCAGGUUUCUCCCAUCGAUCAUCUCCCUCUCCGUCUCCGUCUCCGUCUCCGUCUCCGUCUCCAUUCCUAAACAAGAUCUACUUUUUCCUCCUCUUCUUCUAAUUUUCGAUCUCUCUCCUCUUAGUGUUUUCAAUCUUCUGGGUGACUGUUUCAGUAAGGAUAAGAUCGUCUCCCAUCACUUGUCAGCUAGGGAUGGCCGAUUCGUCGUCGUUUUGGAGAAAUCGUGCUAUAUUCAGUUCGAGUACUUGGUGUACUACGAGAGCCGCAUCACCGGAAAGCUGAGCUACGGCGCGAUCCGAAUCUGAAGGGCAUUCAGGUACAAAGAUUGUUCUUUUGGUUCGUCGUGGAUGAGAUCAGGGUCGAUUUGCCGCCGGCCGAUAGUAUUUACUUCACCGUUGGGAUCAUCAACAAAAGCUCGAUGUCGAUCAGUUCCAGAAUGUUCAUUCUUGUCGGGACGGGCUUUCGGGUACGGAGAUGAAAACCAGGGGUUGCAUAUCUUGUCUUCACACGCAAGGGAAAGACAUUUCACCUUGCCAUAUUUGUGAUUCCAAGGAAAGCCUGACAAGUGAAAAUGUGUGAUCAAACAUUGCUUGCUGUGGCUAAUAUCUUUUUGAGAAGUUCUCUGUGUAUGAACUAUGAAGUAAAUAGAAGCAAAUCGGAAGGUUAUCUACUGAUGCAUUAUUACAAUUAUCCUCCAAACUUAACGGUUACUGAAGUUUUCAUAGAUAUAGUGUACAAAUCCUCAUCCCCAAUGGGUCCAAGAUUGUUUGAAGCUGCUGAAGCCUUCUACUUGUGUGCAGGGGUCGAUGUUAAAUAUGAAGAGAUAAUUGAAGCAACUUCAAUUGACUCCAGCAAAGUCUUACGGUCCUGCACUGCUCAGUUGCAGCUGCUACUGACAGGAGACUUCUUCGAUGAUAUAUGAUUUAUGUACUGCCAUGAGCCUCCUUGAACAACAGAGGUUAUCCGUAAGGAAGGGUUGCAGCCUUGGGGAGGAAGAGUGAUGGGUUUAUCUGUAAUUUUUUAGUUUGUGUAGUUUGAUACUUUUUAAAAUACAGUAUACAGUACAUUAAUGUAGAGGUGCCAGUUGGCACCUUAUUUUUUUAAUCCAGCUUCAUAAAUUUGCCACUGAUAUCAGUGACAUUCCAAAACCACCAUUACACUGAUAAUGGUUGCUUUGGCACUAAUUGAGAUGUAAUUUUGCCUUGGUUAAAGGUAUGACACUGUUAAAUUAUUGGUGUGUAAUGCCCCAAUAGCACCUGCUAUAGAGGGGACUGAUUCUUCUUUAGUGGCUGCAUAGUGGGAAAUGAGAUUAACCACUCUUAUCAGUGUGUAUUGAGACAAAGGAGACUAAUUCACAUUGGUGUGGAAUGGGGAAAUUUCUAGUAGUGAGUCUACACAUAUUGUUAUGACUAUAAAUGGAAUUCAUAAUUCAGUCCAAUGAGUCUAGUAAAUGGUAGAAGGCAGAAUGAAAGAAAAAAAAAAAGAAGAAAUUUUGAGUUGUUUAGAUUCUUGUAGAUUGUUUUUUAGUGACAUUUUUAUGUACUUUGAGACUCCCCAUAGGUAGUUUUUUCGCUAAACAUUUUAGUACUCGUAUGCAAACCUGAUAUUUGAGUGUAUAUAUGUACUUCACUGCAUGUAUAAGUUAUGAAUUUAUAUUUAAGAGAGUUCUUCUGUUGUGCAGGUUAAUGAUGUUGUUCUUGCAGUGGAUAAUACACUUUUCCUGUUCUUUAGAUACCACCCUCCAGGUUUGUUAUCCUUGACGUUUGUUGUUGGUUUUGUAACCUAUACAUUCUUUUUGAGCUGUUCCUGGUUCGUUUUAUAUUUUGACUUAUUUUUCAUUGAAUUGCACCAGACGAUUACAUGUAUAUCAGAGAUGACCAAUCUGUCUUAUAUCAACAUUUUGACAAUGAAUUGUUGUAUUUACUUAAGAGUGCUGGGUUGAAAGCUUUUUGCAGUGGUUGCCAGUGGGGACUUAUUUGGCCACUGUACAUAGACAGGGUGCUGCAGUUUGGGGAGGUGCCACCACCGAGUUCAAACGACUAAUGUGUUAUGCUCAUCCACAAGUAGCUUUUGGUUUUCUGGUUUCAACUUAUAGUAUUUCAUAUCCCUGGAGGAAAUGAAUUUGUUGACUCUUUCACUGAUAUCAAUUUACUGAAUACAUUUUGUAUAUGGUGGGAUUUGAGUUAAUUUGAUUGUUUAGAACUUUGUAACAAUUAGACAACAAGAAUAAAUGAAAAGUAUUGUCCAAGAUUUUAUAGCA